RNAcentral lists this ribosomal RNA (459 nucleotides) under uncultured bacterium. RNAcentral's name for it is "partial 16S ribosomal RNA". It matches the Rfam family "Bacterial small subunit ribosomal RNA", at positions 338 to 795 of the family's 1533-position model. The record is from RNAcentral.
CCUACGGGAGGCAGCAGUGAGGAAUAUUGGUCAAUGGCCGGAAGGCUGAACCAGCCAAGCCGCGUGAAGGACGAAGGUGCCAAGCAUUGUAAACUUCUUUUGUCAAGGGACAAAAUCAGGCUCGAGUGCCUGACCGAGGGUACUCGAAGAAAAAGCAUCGGCUAACUCCGUGCCAGCAGCCGCGGUAAUACGGAGGAUGCGAGCGUUAUCCGGAUUUGUUGGGUUUAAAGGGUGCGUAGGCGGGCUGGUAAGUCAGCGGUAAAAGCCCGGGGCUCAACCCCGGCGAGCCGUUGAGACUGGCUGACUUGAGAUGGCGAGAGGUAUGCGGAAUGCGCGGUGUAGCGGUGAAAUGCUUAGAUAUUGAGCAGAACUCCGAUUGCGAAGGCAGCGUACCGGCGGCGAACUGACGCUGAGGCACGAAAGCGUGGGUAUCGAACAGGAUUAGAUACCCUGGUAGUC